GAUUCCAUGGUGUAGUGGUUAUCACAUCCGCUUAACACGCGGAAGGUCCUGGGUUCAAUCCCCAGUGGAAUCA
This 73-nucleotide transfer RNA is filed under the name Dreissena polymorpha. RNAcentral describes it as "transfer RNA valine (anticodon AAC)". It matches the Rfam family "tRNA". From Rfam's summary of the family: Transfer RNA (tRNA) molecules are approximately 80 nucleotides in length. Their secondary structure includes four short double-helical elements and three loops (D, anti-codon, and T loops). Lineage: Eukaryota; Metazoa; Mollusca; Bivalvia; Myida; Dreissenidae. The record is from Rfam by way of RNAcentral.